Molecule: long non-coding RNA, 1269 nt
Filed under: Equus caballus (horse)
Lineage: Eukaryota; Metazoa; Chordata; Mammalia; Perissodactyla; Equidae
Description: lncRNA (ENSECAG00000049447.1)
Source: RNAcentral
CCUCUAGGAACGCUGAGACCUAAAAUGUCGAUGGUUCCUUCCAGGAAGAAUUAGACCUUGGUCGUAUCCCAAGACCCUGGGCUCUGUGGACACGAGGCGCCCUGAGAUCUCUCGAGGGCCCCUGCUACACGGGGCUGGGGCAGGAGAGCCCAGGUGAUGUGGAUUUCUGAAGCCAGAGUAAGAAGUCUGGACUUUAUUCUAAGGGGCAAUGAGAAGGCGUUAGUGGGUAUAGCAGGAUGUGACAGGCUCUUGCUUGUGCUUUUCAAAGGUCAUUCCAGAUGCUCCCUGCAGACUGUGGCUGGCAAGAAUGAAGGAGCUAGAAGCCUGUUGCAAUAACGCCAGAGAUGACAACGGCUACAUAUGGCAGGUACCAGAAAGAGAGGAAUUGGGUGGUCUCCUGGAACUGUGGCUUCCUCUUUCUUUUGUCUUAAGCAGUGACCAGGCUGUGUCUGAAGGAAGUUCAGUUCAGUCCCUUCUUCUGUGAAACUGCUGAAGCUCUCUGCUCAGGAAGACUCAGAAACCCUGGCUCCGUGGUCAUUCCCUCUUUUCUCUCCCAUCUUCCCUGCUCUUCCGAGGGAGCAGAGCCGCUGGCUCACCGAUUUGCCCAGCACUGAGUUUCUCUGACGCUGAGUGCAGAAGCCCAGGGGUGUACAGCCAGACCGAGCCGUCUCCAAGGUGCGGGGACUGAGGACCCACAUGCGGAGGGAUUUGAGCCCUGAGCGCUUUUUAUUAGUUUUCCUAAGGUGGUUUAAGGCACAAGAGAAGGUACACAAAGGCCUGGAAGUAGGUCAGGAUGGAUCAGCAUGGCAAAGCCGCCAAGGGCAGGAGGUAAAGGCCUCGCCUGCUAAGACAGGGAAAGCAUGGUGGUCUUCCCUGCGAGCUGCCAGACCCAGGGAGGCUCUGGUGUCUGAGCUCGGUGUUGACACAGGACCCUGAUGACCGGCAGGGCCAUGUCCCCAGAGCGUCCCCCCCCCACCUCCUGGCUGUGCUGCAUCUCCCCAACACCAACAGGGUGCACUGGGGGACACUGGCCUUGGACUCAGAGAGUCUCAGCUCUGCCCCAAACUAUCGGGAUUUUCAGAAGCCACCAUCUCUGAGCCUGUGACAACGGACGAUGACACUUGUCCACCUGCUUCCCAGGGUUGCUCAGUGAUGAUGAGCUCGUGUGCACGAAAUCCCUGUGGGGGUCGUAAGGCUCAGGCUCUAUAUAACUGGAGACCAUUGUUCCUAGUCGUUUAUAUUUUCCACUAAGACAAACAAAUGUUCCAG